This 614-nucleotide long non-coding RNA is filed under the name Hordeum vulgare. RNAcentral's name for it is "long non-coding RNA (HVUL_LNC019261)". The record is from RNAcentral. Lineage: Eukaryota; Viridiplantae; Streptophyta; Magnoliopsida; Poales; Poaceae.
UAGUAGCAUUGUCCCUUCUCUCUUUUUCUCUCCUUUUUUUUGUUUGGGCUCUUCGGCCUCUUUUCAUUUUUUUGGGUGGCCAUAUUUGGCCUUUUUUUUAUUUCCUCACAUGGGACAAUGCUCUAAUAAUGAUGAUCAUCACACUUUUAUUUACUCACAACUCAAUACUUAGAGCAAUGAUGACUCUAUAUGAAAUGCCUCCAGCAGUGUACCGGGAUGUGCAACGAUCUAGCUUAGCGUAUGACGUUAAAACAUCUCGCUAGCUAUCUUAUGAUCAUGCAAUGGCAACAUGAAAGUGACGGCACAUGUCAUGAGACGGAACGGUGGGAGUUGCAUGGCAAUAUAUCUCGGAAUGGCUAUUUAAAUGCCAUAAUAGGUAGGUAUGGUGGCUGUUUUGAGGAAGGUAUAUGCUGGGUUUGUGCACCGGUGAAAGUUGCGCGGUACUAGAGAGACUAGCAAUGGUGGAAGGUGAAAGUGCAUCUAUACCAUGGACUCACAUUAGUCAUGAAGAACUCAUAUACUUAUUGUGAAAGUUUUUAUUAGUAAUCGAAACAAAGUGCUAAACGUAUACUCCUAGGGGAAGGGUUGGUAGGUGUUAACCAUCGCGCGAUCCC